Molecule: non-coding RNA, 175 nt
Filed under: Sedimentibacter sp.
Lineage: Bacteria; Bacillati; Bacillota; Tissierellia
Description: 6S RNA
Rfam family: 6S / SsrS RNA
About the family: E. coli 6S RNA was the first non coding RNA to be sequenced, but its function was unknown until recently.
Source: RNAcentral
AACAGCCUGCGGUGUUCGGAAACUUAUUAAUUCAACCGACAUAUUGUAAAAGGGAAUUCGCGUUCGACUGCCUAUGACAAGCCCGCUUGGACGGGAAGCCAGAAUCAGCCGACAGAUAUCCCACCUGCCUAGGUGCGGGUGUGAAUUAUAGGUUUGCGGCACACGCGGGUUUUUU